Molecule: long non-coding RNA, 399 nt
Filed under: Lynx pardinus (Iberian lynx)
Lineage: Eukaryota; Metazoa; Chordata; Mammalia; Carnivora; Felidae
Source: RNAcentral
GACAAUCCGGGUUCCUCGAGCUCACUGUUGCGGGCUCUCAGCCUCAGACUUCCAGGAAUGCCUCCCUCUCUGCUGGAAACUCCAUCACAUUGACAACUGCUUUCUGAAUUCUGAGGGCAGCUCCCCAUUCCAUUGGCAAUGGACUAACGGGGUCACGACUGCAUCAAGAGAGACGAAGCCUGCAGCAGUUUGGUAGCGGCUAACACCCCAAAUAUCCUGAGCUUCAUCUGUAUUCAUUCUCCCCUAGUGCCGUGGAUGGCUUCUGCAGACUCGAGUUUAUCUCAGCCUCAAAGCUAAUAGAGUUAAACCAGCUGGUCAAUUUAAACACGAGCAGAACCAGUGAGAUGUUACUGUAUUCUGAGGCGGUGCUAAUAAACUUUAAUAGAUUUCAGCUAACAA